Hippocampus comes (tiger tail seahorse) is the source of this 174-nucleotide long non-coding RNA. RefSeq lists it as uncharacterized. NCBI's taxonomy places the organism in Eukaryota, Metazoa, Chordata, Actinopteri, Syngnathiformes, Syngnathidae. The record is from RefSeq and is a predicted model, not a curated record. The transcript is spliced from 3 exons.
UUUUUUGAAUCUAAAAAUCAGAAGCAAAUUCUUCCUUCUACAAUCCCUUGAUACACAGGAGUGCAGAAGAGAAAGGUUGAAUUUGGCCCUUGGCAUGUUCAAACAGAGUUCUGCAAACAUAUCUUCCCAUGUUGUUAUGAUAUUGUACUAUAUUUUAAGAGCAAAAAUCUAAAA